AUUUGGAGAAGCAUUUGGGAAAGUCAAAGAAAAUUCAAAGCACAGCUUAGACGGUGUGGAGAAGUGGCGCACAGCUUUGAUGGAAGCAGGCAAUCUAUCUGGAUGGGUUUCCAGCGACUCCAGGCAUGAAUCCCAACUAUGUGAAGAAGUCGCUGACAGCAUUCUGGAGAAAUUGUUUUCCAGAUCGUAUGCUGAUUCUAUGGGCUUAGUUGGGAUUGAUUCACAUGUCGAUAAAAUUAUGUCAUUGUUAUGUAUUGAGCCAACAAACAUUCGGGUAAUAGGAAUUUGGGGAAUGGGUG
Molecule: unclassified non-coding RNA, 299 nt
Filed under: Hevea brasiliensis (rubber tree)
Lineage: Eukaryota; Viridiplantae; Streptophyta; Magnoliopsida; Malpighiales; Euphorbiaceae
Source: RNAcentral